Passer domesticus (house sparrow) is the source of this 295-nucleotide long non-coding RNA. RefSeq lists it as uncharacterized. The record is from RefSeq and is a predicted model, not a curated record. The transcript has 3 exons. NCBI's taxonomy places the organism in Eukaryota, Metazoa, Chordata, Aves, Passeriformes, Passeridae.
AGGGAAGGCAGAGGAAUAUGUGCUAGGCUGUAGUUGUGGACAUGGCACCUUGCAGAGCACCUUUUAUAUGUCCAGAAACUAUUGAUAACACAUGAAAUUACAGAUCCAGGAAAAGGCAUUGGCAUGAACCAUCUCCAGAGAAUUUCCUGAACAGCUUUGGAGGACUGGACAAGAUCGCUGAAGAAUUUCCAGUGCUCUAGAAGGCUCAAGACAGCAUUUCCAGUGCUAGAAGGUGAACAAAGAGAGAAGCAUGAUCUACUUUACCUCUACAGACAGUAGGACUUAGUAGGACUUC